CGGUAAACAAAGGGAAGCGAACACGCGAGUGGGAGCGAAUCCCAAAAAUAACGUCCCAGUUCGGAUUGUAGUCUGCAACCCGGCUACAUGAAGCUGGAAUCGCUAGUAAUCGCGGAUCAGAAUGCCGCGGUGAAUACGUUCCCGGGUCUUGUACACACCGCCCGUCACACCAUGGGAGCCGGAAAUGCCCGAAGUCAGUGACCCAACCGCAAGGAGGGAGCUGCCGAAGGUGGAGCUGGUAACUGGGGUGAAGUCGUAACAAGGUAUC
This 268-nucleotide ribosomal RNA is filed under the name uncultured bacterium. RNAcentral describes it as "partial 16S ribosomal RNA". It matches the Rfam family "Bacterial small subunit ribosomal RNA", at positions 1234 to 1500 of the family's 1533-position model. The record is from RNAcentral.